This 492-nucleotide ribosomal RNA is filed under the name uncultured bacterium. Its description in RNAcentral is "partial 16S ribosomal RNA". It matches the Rfam family "Bacterial small subunit ribosomal RNA", at positions 28 to 507 of the family's 1533-position model. The record is from RNAcentral.
GAUGAACGCUAGCUACAGGCUUAACAGAUGCAAGUCGAGGGGAAACGACAUCGAAAGCUUGCUUUUGAUGGGCGUCGACCGGCGCACGGGUGAGUAACGCGUAUCCAACCUGCCCAUCACUUGGGAAUAACCUUGCGGAAGUAAGACUAAUACCCAAUGAUAUCCCACGAAGGCAUCGGAAUGGGAUUAAAGAUUUAUCGGUGAUGGAUGGGGAUGCGUCUGAUUAGCUUGUUGGCGGGGUAACGGCCCACCAAGGCAACGAUCAGUAGGGGUUCUGAGAGGAAGGUCCCCCACAUUGGAACUGAGACACGGUCCAAACUCCUACGGGAGGCAGCAGUGAGGAAUAUUGGUCAAUGGGCGAGAGCCUGAACCAGCCAAGUAGCGUGCAGGAAGACGGCCCUAUGGGUUGUAAACUGCUUUUAUAAGGGAAUAAAGUGGGUCACGUGUGACUUUUUGCAUGUACCUUAUGAAUAAGGACCGGCUAAUUCCGUG